AUGACCUUUUUUCUUGUUGAUUUCAUUAGAUGGUUAACAUUCCAAGCUUGUGCUUAUAGAGGCCAUGAUGAAUCUCCGGGAUCAAGUAAUCAGGGUAAUUUUCUUCAUCUGGUGAGGUUCUUGGCUUCUUAUAGCAAAGAGGUGAAUGCGGUUGUUUUGGAAAAUGCUCCAAGGAAUGCGAAGUACACCUCCCAUACAGUGCAACUAGAAAUCCUCACAUUACUUUCUAGUAGAGUUAAGGAAAAAAUUAGAUAUGAAAUUGGUACUAGCAAGUUCUGCAUAAUGGUAGACGAAGCACGAGAUGAAUCAAAGAAAGAGCAAAUGGCAUUGGUUCUUCGAUUCCUGAGCACCGAGGGGUUCAUACAGGAGCGUUUUCUUGAUAACCAAACAAAUGAUAUUCUUGUUGAUAUUUUGGUAGGCCGCCCUUCUAAGGGCGUUACUCUAUUGCUUCUCCUCUGGUGUCAUUCGUUGCCUGGCUUCUCUUUGACGGGCAGUCCUCUCCUCCUCUGUUUUUUCCUAGCUUCUCUGCGACGUGCAUUGAUUUCCUCCUUCUAUUCAGGUGUUAAUCUAUUUCGCCGUGCUAUAUAUUGGUCUCGCCUUUUCUUUUUUCUGUCUCAUUUAAUGAUACCAUUUGAAGCAAUGUGUUCGGGGACAGUGUCUUCAGUGUCGAGUCGAGUGAUAUAUCCGAACCAAUAUUAUGAUCAAUGA
This 708-nucleotide ribosomal RNA is filed under the name Triticum aestivum (bread wheat). RNAcentral's name for it is "partial small subunit ribosomal RNA". Lineage: Eukaryota; Viridiplantae; Streptophyta; Magnoliopsida; Poales; Poaceae. The record is from RNAcentral.